ACGCAACCUCAACUCAGGCGGGGCUACUCGCUGAGUUUAAGCAUAUCAAUAAGCGGAGGAAAAGAAACUAACAAGGAUUCCUCUA
Molecule: ribosomal RNA, 85 nt
Filed under: Bikinia evrardii
Lineage: Eukaryota; Viridiplantae; Streptophyta; Magnoliopsida; Fabales; Fabaceae
Description: partial 28S ribosomal RNA
Rfam family: Eukaryotic large subunit ribosomal RNA
Source: RNAcentral